Molecule: ribosomal RNA, 450 nt
Filed under: uncultured bacterium
Lineage: Bacteria
Description: partial 16S ribosomal RNA
Rfam family: Bacterial small subunit ribosomal RNA
Source: RNAcentral
GUGGGGAAUCUUCCGCAAUGGACGAAAGUCUGACGGAGCAACGCCGCGUGAGUGAAGAAGGUUUUCGGAUCGUAAAGCUCUUUCGUUAGGGACGAACGUGCUCUUUGUGAAUAAUGAGGAGUAAUGACGGUACCUAAAUAAGAAGCCACGGCAAACUACGUGCCAGCAGCCGCGGUAAUACGUAGGUGGCAAGCGUUGUCCGGAAUUAUUGGGCGUAAAGCGCGCGCAGGCGGGAUAUCAAGUCUGUCUUAAAAGUGCGAGGCUCAACCUCGUGAGGGGACAGAAACUGGUAAUCUUGAGUGUCGGAGAGGAAAGUGGAAUUCCAAGUGUAGCGGUGAAAUGCGUAGAGAUUUGGAAGAACACCAGUGGCGAAGGCGACUUUCUGGACGAUGUCUGACGCUGAGGCGCGAAAGCUAGGGGAGCGAACGGGAUUAGAUACCCUUGUAGUCC